AUUGAACGCUGGCGGAAUGCUUUACACAUGCAAGUCGAACGGCAGCACGGACUUCGGUCUGGUGGCGAGUGGCAAACGGGUGAGUAAUGUAUCGGAACGUGCCCAGUCGUGGGGGAUAACGUCGUGAAGAUUACGCUAAUACCGAAUACGAUCUAUGGAUGAAAGCGGGGGAUCGCAAGACCUCGCGCGAUUGGAGCGCCCGAUAUCAGAUUAGGUAGUUUGUGGGGUAAAGGUCCACCAAGCAAACGAUCUGUAGAUGGUCUGAGAGGGCGACCAGCCAGACUAGAACUGAGACACGGUGCAGACUCCUACGGGAGGCAGCAGUGGGGAAUUUUGGACAAUGGGCGAAAGCCUGAUCCAGCCAUUCCGCGUGCAGGAUGAAGGCCCUCGGGUUGUAAACUGCUUUUGUACAGAACGAAAAGGUUUCUACUAAUACUAGGAGCUCAUGACGGUACUGUAAGAAUAAGCACCGGCUAACUACGUGCCAGCAGCCGCCGUAA
This 500-nucleotide ribosomal RNA is filed under the name uncultured bacterium. RNAcentral describes it as "partial 16S ribosomal RNA". It matches the Rfam family "Bacterial small subunit ribosomal RNA", at positions 30 to 523 of the family's 1533-position model. The record is from RNAcentral.